This 211-nucleotide long non-coding RNA is filed under the name Medicago truncatula (barrel medic). Its description in RNAcentral is "long non-coding RNA (MTRU_LNC008675)". The record is from RNAcentral. Lineage: Eukaryota; Viridiplantae; Streptophyta; Magnoliopsida; Fabales; Fabaceae.
GGAAGGGACAAAAUGAGUAAAAACCCUUAUUGAGACUUUGGAUUCGGGGGUUGGUUACGCGAAGGGAAGGUGCUAGCACCCUAAGCGUCUACGGUAUUCCGUAGGAACCUCUUACCUAAUUUAUCUUGUGCUACAUUCAUUGCUUAUUUGAAAAUUAUUACCUAAAAAUCUAAGUAAAAGAAUGGAGGGAGAAGAAGUAUGUUUUUGGUUU